GGCAGGAUGGAGGAUUUGGGUGAGCAUCGGGUACCGGGGAGCCCUGAUCCCGAGCUUGCAGCGGGGUUGGAGCUCCAGGAGGUCGGGGGCUUCUUGGGGAUGCUGCAGAGGGGAUGGUGGAGGAGCUUGGGGGGUGAAGCUGGGUGUCUGAGCGAGCGCUUUGCCAAAAAUGGAGAGCCUUGAGGCAGGAAAUAGGCUUCUGGCGUGAGCGGCGGUGAUGCAAGCACAGCUCCACAAAAUGGGGACAAACCGCCCCAAGAUGAAGAGCACCGCAUCCGAGGGGGGCAGGGGGCAGCCCUGGGUGGGGAGAUGGGGCCGGGGAAGCGGCCGCCCUACGUGGGGUGUGAAAAGCCAGCUCCUGCUGCGAGGGAAAAGUGAAAAGAGAAAGUGCUGUGCCCUCCCUUAGCGUCGGAGGGGCUGAUCUGAGAAACGGGGCUGUGGUUUUGGGGGGGAGCGGCGGUGGGGUGAGGGUGCUUAGGGCCCCCGCCGCCCCUUGGGGCCCUGGCAUCCGGCUGGAAAGGAGAAAGGGCGAUGGCAGAAAGCGCCCUGCGGCCACUUCUGCUCCUCAGGGGCAGACACGGCACAAACCUUGUGCUGGGGGACAGGAGGAGGACUUCGGGGGUCCCAGCUCUGUCCUCCCCCUGCAGAUGCUUUGCUGGCAGAGCUGGAGCAGAGCUCCCGGCCGGCCUCCAUGGACUACACGCUGCUGGCCCCGAGCUCUGCACAGCAGGACACAGCCACGGCCAGACCCUCAGCCAACUGCAGCCAGAAGAAACAUGCCCCAGCACCCCCAAAGGUGAAGCUGCCGCCCCGGGCUCAGCCUCCCCACAAGGAUUUGGAGACCGUGUACAGCAGCCCCACGCUGA
RNAcentral lists this long non-coding RNA (866 nucleotides) under Anas platyrhynchos platyrhynchos (common mallard). Its description in RNAcentral is "lncRNA (ENSAPLG00000018036.1)". The record is from RNAcentral. Lineage: Eukaryota; Metazoa; Chordata; Aves; Anseriformes; Anatidae.